RNAcentral lists this ribosomal RNA (301 nucleotides) under uncultured bacterium. RNAcentral's name for it is "partial 16S ribosomal RNA". It matches the Rfam family "Bacterial small subunit ribosomal RNA", at positions 509 to 809 of the family's 1533-position model. The record is from RNAcentral.
CAGUCGCCACGGUAAUACGUAGGUGGCGAGCGUUGUCCGGAAUUAUUGGGCGUAAAGGGAGCGCAGGCGGACAUAUAAGUCCAUCUUAAAAGUGCGGGGCUCAACCCCGUGAGGGGAUGGAAACUGUAUGCCUUGAGUGCAGGAGAGGAAAGCGGAAUUCCUAGUGUAGCGGUGAAAUGCGUAGAUAUUAGGAGGAACACCGGUGGCGAAAGCGGCUUUCUGGACGACAACUGACGCUGAGGCGCGAAAGCCAGGGGAGCAAACGGGAUUAGAUACCCCAGUAGUCCCUGUCUCUUAUACA